This 413-nucleotide ribosomal RNA is filed under the name uncultured prokaryote. RNAcentral describes it as "bacterial SSU rRNA". It matches the Rfam family "Bacterial small subunit ribosomal RNA", at positions 505 to 918 of the family's 1533-position model. The record is from RNAcentral.
GUGUCAGCCGCCGCGGUAAUACGGAGGGGGCUAGCGUUGUUCGGAAUUACUGGGCGUAAAGCGCGCGUAGGCGGCCUUGCAAGUUGGGGGUGAAAUCCCGGAGCUCAACUCCGGAACUGCCUUCAAAACUGCAAAGCUAGAGGAUGCGAGAGGUGAGCGGAAUUCCGAGUGUAGAGGUGAAAUUCGUAGAUAUUCGGAAGAACACCAGUGGCGAAGGCGGCUCACUGGCGCAUUUCUGACGCGUAGGCGCGAAAGCGGGGGGAGCAAACAGGAUUAGAUACCCGGGUAGUCCACGCCGUAAACGACGAGGGCUAGUUGUCGGGCGGCUUGCCGUUCGGUGACGCAGCUAACGCAUUAAGCCCUCCGCCUGGGGAGUACGGUCGCAAGAUUAAAACUCAAAUGAAUUGGCGGGG